ACGGGAGGCAGCAGUGGGGAAUAUUGCACAGUGGGGGAAACCCUGAUGCAGCGACGCCGCGUGGAGGAAGAAGGUCUUCGGAUUGUAAACUCCUGUUGUUAGGGACGAUAAUGACGGUACCUAACAAGGAAGCCACGGCUAACUACGUGCCAGCAGCCGCGGUAAAACGUAGGUGGCAAGCGUUGUCCGGAAUUACUGGGUGUAAAGGGAGCGCAGGCGGACUAUCAAGUUGGAAGUGAAACCCACGGGCUCAACCCGUGGCCUGCUUCGGAAACUGGUGGUCUUGAGUAGUGGAGAGGUAGGCGGAAUUCCCGGUGUAGCGGUGGAAUGCGUAGAUAUCGGGAGGAACACCAGUGGCGAAGGCGGCCUACUGGGCACCAACUGACGCUGAGGCUCGAAAGUAUGGGUAGCAAACAGGAUUAGAUACCCUGGUA
Molecule: ribosomal RNA, 434 nt
Filed under: uncultured Oscillospiraceae bacterium
Lineage: Bacteria; Bacillati; Bacillota; Clostridia; Eubacteriales; Oscillospiraceae
Description: partial 16S ribosomal RNA
Rfam family: Bacterial small subunit ribosomal RNA
Source: RNAcentral